UGGUAGGCCCUGCGGAUGGAUCAUUUU
Molecule: unclassified non-coding RNA, 27 nt
Filed under: Dictyostelium discoideum
Lineage: Eukaryota; Evosea; Eumycetozoa; Dictyosteliales; Dictyosteliaceae
Source: RNAcentral